This 348-nucleotide RNase P RNA is filed under the name Gelidibacter algens. RNAcentral's name for it is "Bacterial RNase P class A". It matches the Rfam family "Bacterial RNase P class A". From Rfam's summary of the family: Ribonuclease P (RNase P) is a ubiquitous endoribonuclease, found in archaea, bacteria and eukarya as well as chloroplasts and mitochondria. The record is from Rfam by way of RNAcentral. Lineage: Bacteria; Pseudomonadati; Bacteroidota; Flavobacteriia; Flavobacteriales; Flavobacteriaceae.
CAAGUAAUUCGCCUUAUCGCUGUUCAUGCAAAUGGAUGGAGGAAAGUCCGAACACCGUAGUGCAACAUAAUGGUUAAUGGCCAUCGGUCGUGAGAUCAGGAAAAGUGCAACAGAAAGUAUGUACAGGUCAUGCUGUAGUGAAACCAGGUAAACUCUAUGUGGUGCAAUGUCAUGUAUACCAACGUCCCGAUCCGUCGGGAGAGGGCGGCACGCUCGAUUGUUGGAGGGUAGACAGCAAAAGUGUGCUGGUAACAGUACACUCAGAUAAAUGAUAAGGGCAUUUUUAUUUCUGGAAUUCAUUUCCAAAAAGAAAAUGUACAGAAUUCGGCUUAUAGAUUUACUUAAACU